Long non-coding RNA from Vicia villosa (hairy vetch), 1077 nucleotides. RefSeq lists it as uncharacterized. The transcript has 3 exons. The record is from RefSeq and is a predicted model, not a curated record. Lineage: Eukaryota; Viridiplantae; Streptophyta; Magnoliopsida; Fabales; Fabaceae.
UACAGGAAUGGAAUCCAGUAGAGAAGGAACUCAUACAAAGAUGGUGUUUUUGGAACAACAUGUCCUAUUCCUCCUCAAAAGAACUUUAGAGUUUAGAUACAUACUUCAAGUCAAGGAUCAAAUUGGUAGCUUCUAUUAUUUCCCAUCACUUACAUUCCAUAAAGCUGCUGGUGCUUUUGGUGGUAUGAGGAUCCUAAGUUGACGACACAAGAUCCGAAUAUUUCACGGUGUGGUUGUUGUCAAUUGUUACGAUCUUUGUAGCUGAUAUAUGUAGCCUACAUAAUAAAGCUGAUAUCACAUGUUAAUUCUGAUUUUCGCAAACGUAAAUAUUUAUUCUUGACAGUUGAAAACUCCAAUAUGAUUCUAAUAUUUUACACUAAUGAAGUUGGUUCUUUUUCAGGCUUUUCCUUCAAUGAAGUUGGUUCUGUGCGCAAAAGCAAUGAAAAAGUUGUUUGCUAUCAUUCCUUAAUCUGGCUUUCAUAAUGAAGAGGAUUAAUUGGAAAUUUGGUAUGCUUAGUGAUUGUUGAAGUGGAGGUUUAAUUGAUGAGGUUGAAUGGAAGGUAUUGGUGACGGGAAUCUGACGAUGAUGGUGGAAGCAUUUGUGAAGGAAUAUCUUGCUUGGGAAAUAAAAGAAUACAAGAUUUUGGAUUCUUUCUAUUUUCAAGAGGGGUGAUGUUUUCAAAGCUGUCUUUCAUUUCAUUUCUCACAAUAGACUUGAGGUUUUCAUCUUUUGUCGAGUUUGCUAUUCCCAUUUUCCAUCUCCGCUUGAGAACUUUCAUCUGCAAUUUCAGUUUCAGCAUUGAUAUCUGAAGGAUGUUGGCUCUAUGUUAUAGCAUCUUAUUCUUGAGGAUCUAUUUCAGUAUGUAGAUCAUGUUCAGUUUAGGGUUCAAAAUUUGACACUGAUGCAUCUGGUGGUGCAGGUACGAUGUAUGGAUCGUCCGAGUUUCCUGUCGGUGCACAACUGCAUUUUGGAAAGGCUUAUGAGAUUAUGUAAUACAUGAUUUCUCGGGUUAGCUAAAUGAAUUGGGUUAGUUAGUGUAUUGUGGAACAUUAGUGAUUUUUUAAAAUUCUGCUAUG